RNAcentral lists this non-coding RNA (131 nucleotides) under Candidatus Brocadia. RNAcentral's name for it is "c-di-GMP sequence". It matches the Rfam family "c-di-GMP-I-GGC riboswitch aptamer". Lineage: Bacteria; Pseudomonadati; Planctomycetota; Candidatus Brocadiia; Candidatus Brocadiales; Candidatus Brocadiaceae. The record is from RNAcentral. RNAcentral also lists the same sequence under 1 other name.
CACGAUAAGGGCAAACCCUGAGUGAUCAGGGGGCGCAAAGUAAUAGGGUCUUCUUCAUACAGGGAUGUAGUCUAAGAGAAGGCAAGAGUAUCCUUGUAGUAAGUCGUAAAAAGACAGCCUUACUGCCGAAG